GACGAACGCUGGCGGCGUGCUUAACACAUGCGAGUCGAACGGAAAGGCCCUGCUUUUGUGGGGUGCUCGAGUGGCGAACGGGUGUGUAACACGUGAGUAACCUGCCCUUGACUUUGGGAUAACUUCAGGAAACUGGGGCUAAUACCGGAUAGGAGCUCCUGCUGCAUGGUGGGGGUUGGAAAGUUUCGGCGGUUGGGGAUGGACUCGCGGCUUAUCAGCUUGUUGGUGGGGUAGUGGCUUACCAAGGCUUUGACGGGUAGCCGGCCUGAGAGGGUGACCGGCCACAUUGGGACUGAGAUAAGGCGCAGACUCCUACGGGAGGCAGCAGUGGGGAAUAUUGCACAAUGGGCGGAAGCCUGAUGCAGCAACGCCGCGUGCGGGAUGACGGCCUUCGGGUUGUAAACCGCUUUCGCCUGUGACGAAGCGUGAGUGACGGUAAUGGGUAAAGAAGCACCGGCUAACUACGUG
Molecule: ribosomal RNA, 468 nt
Filed under: uncultured bacterium
Lineage: Bacteria
Description: partial 16S ribosomal RNA
Rfam family: Bacterial small subunit ribosomal RNA
Source: RNAcentral